CCCCUCUCAGGGUCACACCUGGAGAGUUCUGAAUACUCUACCAGUCUCGGCUAUGGGAGGGAGGGUCAAGCAGAGUCCUACCCAUUCCAUUCCUAGCUUGGACAGUAGCUAGUGAGUGGAAGGCGAUCGGCUACAAGU
Small nucleolar RNA from Tachyglossus aculeatus (Australian echidna), 138 nucleotides. NCBI's taxonomy places the organism in Eukaryota, Metazoa, Chordata, Mammalia, Monotremata, Tachyglossidae. The record is from RefSeq and is a predicted model, not a curated record.